Molecule: non-coding RNA, 4691 nt
Organism: Microcebus murinus (gray mouse lemur)
Lineage: Eukaryota; Metazoa; Chordata; Mammalia; Primates; Cheirogaleidae
Source: RefSeq, a predicted model, not a curated record
CUGGAACUUAGACUCCAGGAGGUCGAUGAGGGCCUGCGGUUUCUCCGAGUAGGACGGCGCAUGGUGUUUCCAGUUCAGUAGAUCAGCGGUGGAGAAAGGCUGAUGAUACAGGGGAGGCUGCCCCGGCUGGAUGGCUCUGUCAUCCCGCGCCUGUGGCGGACCGUAUAUUUCACGCAGAGGCAUCUGGAAGGCGGGGGUAAGGGGUUGGGCAGACCGCAACCAACGAGAGAGUGAUGGAGACGCCGGUGGUGGAGAAACUGAUGGAGUUGGGGUUUCAGGUGCAGUCGGGGGUGUCUGGGAGGGUGGCGUGACUUGUGGGUUGUAAGGCAGAGGUAGGUCCUCGAUCAAGUCUCCCUGAUGUAUCUUUGUCUUGAGAUCUCAGACCCUCUGAGCCACUAGAACCCUACUCUGUCCCUCAUCAGCGCAGAACCAAACCCAACAAGGCAUAGUUUGAGCAAUCUCCAGCCAUGUAUCUAUAUAUGGGAAUUGAUCCGGGUGACCCGGAAUCCCAGUCACCACUCUGCACACUGAACGUAUAGUGGGCAGGUCAAGGGUUCCCUCCGCAGGCCAGCCUACUCCGAAGGUCGGCCAUUCCAGCUCACAGAGGGUUCUUAAUCUGUCGGGUGUCAUCGUGACCCCAUACCCGCCCUUAAUACCCACCCUUAAAGCCUGUUUUAAAAUUUUUCAGCAUGCACCCCAGAACUGUUGGCUUGGACUCGAACCCUCCUAUGUUUUCCCAUCCCCUUCUCCACCGACAAAAACCUUGUCCCUGCCCAGACUCUGGGCCCUGCUGCCACAGAACCCCAGGUUAGGACCCACUCAAACCCCUUAGCUGUGGGGCUACAGACACAAUGACCACAAGCAGUCACUGUGUUCCUUCCACUCACAUUCACUGACACAUUCCCUCCCCUGGGGGAUCCCUGUCCUUAGGAGGCGAUCAGGCUCCUCUUCCGUCCCACUGAUGGGCUCUAGGAGCUGGGCGGGCUCCUCUUCCGUCCCACUGACGGGCCUACACCCUAGGAGCUGAUCAGGCUGCUCUUCUGUCCCUCUGACGGGCCUACCUUGGGCGGGUCCCGGGACCCUACCUUGUAAGCCGGGCACCCACCCGCUCAGCCCCCUGCCGUGGAGGCCAGCACCUGCCGGUGGCCUGUGUCAGUGCCCCUGCUUCCCCUCCCUCAGCAAGGCCUUGGCAAGUAUUGCCCUUGGCCAACAGCUCUUGGCACUGAAGGAGACAGAUGCCGCUCAGCGCCGGCUUGUCUCAGCCCGCCGUCUGCCGUCCCAGUGGCUUCACGGGGCCAGCUCGGUCGGCUUUCCCGGUCAGGAAACCAAAAUGUUGCGGCAAAGGUUACAGCUAGUGUUACAGCUGGUGUUACAGCGCUUGACCGGGGAGAGAACCGAGCGGCACACGGAGAGCCGGAGAGCAGUCUUUACUCCUCCAGCAGGCUCGGCCGACUUCUGACUUCUGACCCCUCUUGCCACAACAUUAUUACCUUCUCUGUGCCCUAAUACCUCCAUCUGUUAAAUGGGUACCAGUAUAGCAUCUAUGGUGAAACCUGCGUGUAUUAAGUAAAACUGGGGGACGUUGCUUGGUUGUGUGGCUAGGGUGCCAGCGAUGUCAGCUGGCUGCGGUGCACGAGGAGGGGAGUGCUGAGGGCGAGCAGAGGCAUGGAGCGCUGAGGAGGAGAGGGCUUUGAGGAGAUGGGGUCAGGAUGACAAAGGAAGCACACAGGGAGCACUCGAGGGCAUUAUGUCAUUAAUUCUCAUGCAUCUCUGUGCGAGGAGCUCAAGUCUACAGAUGGGCUCAAGUCUACAGAUGAGGAAACCAAGGCUCCUGGGAGGAAGUGACUGGCACAAGGUGGCUCAGCUAGACAGACGUGGAAGCUGGAAUUCCAGUCCACAUCUGAACGACCAACAGCCUGUGUGCCCUCACUGCCCGUCAGGAGCCUCCGGGGGGGGGGCGAGAAGGAUGAAGGCUGCCCUGCGUGAGGGGAAGGGCCAGGCCGGUCCGGGCAGCAGGGGGCAGCAGGCGGGGGUGCAGAUCGGCUGGCAGAGAAGACACGGAUGUGGCGGCUAUAGGUCACUCCGCUGAGCACUGUGCACGAGAAUGAACUGAGCAAUGAGGCAAAGGCUUGGGGGCCUGAGAGGGUCACCCCGGGGGGUUAUUCGGAGCAGGGAGACGGGACUAGUGUUCAAGCAGGGAGGAAAUGAAGGAAGGAGAAGAGGCCAUGAGUAUAAGUGACAGAUAAAGGACCUGUGGGGUGUGGGAAGGGUUGAAGUCAGGGCCACACAGCUUAGUUUUGGACAAAAGGAAGAGAUUGGCCACAAUGGAGAAAGAAUUUAUUACUGUAACAAAAGAGGCAAAGGGUGACCACGUGCCCCUCUGUUCACUCCCUUGGAGGACAGGGUGAACCCUGCAUGAGACAGGUGUCCGGUGAGCUGGGAGGGCACGCCCGACGGGAAGCCACAGCGUUUGUGCAAGGGCUCAGGUGUGGGAGCAGAGAAAGCACGUUGGGUCCCUGCUGAGGUCAGACCAGCCCGAGCUCCAUCCAUCCACAGCCCCUCCAGCCAGGCGCGCCACAGGUAGUAGGACUAGAGUGGAACUUCCACAGAACAGACACAGCUCCCUGUCUGUUGCAGAGGCUGGCGGGUGAAUGAUGCUAUAGUUGGUGGUGUGGAUAAAGCGAGGUCCGUGCUCAGGGCAGGAGGAAGUGGGGGCAGCAAAGCAGGUGAGAGUAGUGGGCAGGGCAAACGGCUUCUGCAAGGGACCUAAGGAGAGGGAUGUGGUACCUUCCAGAAGCCGAGUGACGUUCACAGCCACGGGAAUGUAGAACCUGUGUAUGAGCAGGCGGCAACUUGCACUUUAUUCGCAUGAGGCUAACGGGGCCGUUGAUCUUUUCAGCAGGGAGAGCCCUAAUGGGAUGGAUUUGGAAAGCCGCCUGUUUCCACUGCGGGGUGUCAGUUGAACGUGCACUUGACUGAGGAAGGAGACCAGGAGGGGGCUGCAGGGCCCAGGCCAGGACUCCACAGCUUAGGUGCAGGGAGGAGACAACGGGAAGCUGAGGCUUGGCUCCGCGUGGCCAGGGAAGGGACCUGGCCCCAUCCUGCAUUUCGACGGAGUGCGCAGAGCCAGAGGGGUGCAGCAGACCUGUCAGACCCUGCCCAUGGGAGUCCGAGGGGGCUCCUGGAAGAGACUUCAUCCUGGGGGACCUCAAGAGCAGGCUCCGACCACUGGCCUUGCGACCAGAAGAGCAGAAGAGCACCUGGAAGUUCCUGCGGAGCAGCAGCCACGCUGGGCGAGUGAUUUGUGAGAGUAUCUGAGAUGCUCGCGGGGGGGUUCCCAGGGGAGGGGGCAGCUCCAGGUGGCUUUGCAGGAGGAGAGGGGCCAGGGAAGGCAGAAUGACUGCAGCUGCUCCGCCCCCAGCUUGCCUGGGGACGCUCUGGUCAGCACUCGUGCACACCCCCAAGCAGCGGCGCCGUCGCCAGGGCUCCUUACAGACAUGAAGCACUUGCCCCCAAAGUACAUCAUCUGAUGCUCUCAACUGCCCUGCAGAAAGGGUGCUUUGGUGCCCGUUUUAUGAAUGCAGAAAGAGAGGAUUGGAGAAGUUAGGUAAUUUUUCUAAGAUCUCACAGCUCAUGUGUGGUGGGAUCCAACCUUCAUUUAUCCUCACAUCUUUUCAUAUCGCACGCGACUCACACGUCCUCUUUCUCUGUCCUCACACCUCCCGGGAGCACCCAGGGUCCCCCGCGUGCUGCGAGCUCAUGAUGGGAAGGCCCCGUCUCUGACCAUCGGAGAAGGAGACUGAGGUCUGGGCGUCAGCGCCAGCCACAGGAUGAGCCAAGUACACAGAUCCCCCAGGGUCUGGCAAUGACGGCCCUGGUACUAACUCACGUGCUUAAUAUGCUCUUCCUGAGCGAUGGCGUGUGGAAUGGGGCUUCUGUUCAAACCUCCUCUUCCUCUGCAUGGGCAGGGUUAUGGGAACUGCAGUGCUAUUCUCUGUCCCUUCUUUCUCUUUGCAUCUGGGCAAAGAUGCAGAACUUCUAUGCAUGAAGGCUAUGAAUUUGCAACCUGGCUACUACUCACCUGGCAGGGGUGAAAUGACUUUGGGUGAAACUUGGGGAGAUUUCACUGCAACGCCAACUUUUCCUUGGACACAGGGGUCAGCAGAGCUGCCGUCUGCUCCACCUUGGUCUCAUGCAGCACCUUUGCACAAUGAGCGCUUGGCACCAAAGAGAUGUGCCGAUUGAGUGAAAGAGUGAUGUCACUUGAGCAAGAUAACUCCUUUACACCUUAGUGCCCCUCCCAUCCUGCCAAGGGCCACAGAGCAGGGAAGUCUAACUAGGCUCUAGUCUCUCUCUACCCCAUGGCAGUGGGCCUGUGGUUCACAGGCCUCUUUGUGAACCAAUAAUUAUUUAAGGAGCUUUAAAAAAUAUUAGAAAAAAGGUUUUAUUUAAAAGCAUUGGCUUUCUAAUUGCCUUCUAGCUGCAUAACAAUUUAAAUGGAACUAUCUAACUGGAAACAAGCAGACGUUUCCUUCUUAGGCUCCAAGAAGGUGACCUUUGGUGGUGAAUACUGUUUUUAAAACCACAAAUCUCAGAGUUGAUUCUGGCAGGUUGAGAGGCCAUACAGACACCUGGGAAUGCAGAAGGCAUGGCUUUUAGGCCAGUGAGACCCAAAUAAGAGUCCCUAAGGG